Molecule: long non-coding RNA, 639 nt
Organism: Ceratina calcarata
Lineage: Eukaryota; Metazoa; Arthropoda; Insecta; Hymenoptera; Apidae
Exons: 3
Source: RefSeq, a predicted model, not a curated record
UUUUUCCAGUUUCGCAGCCGGGCGAACGUCUGCCUCGGAGAGGGGUUGCGCACGAACCCGAAGGGGGAUUCGAUUUAGUUGACGUUGAGGAGAGUGCACGCCGGGGGAAUUGAUUACCUGGGACAAUUGUACGGCAGGGUAUCGCGUGCGCUGCAAGUUGAAAUUUCGAGUAGAUCGAUCGUCACGGGGAAGGAGGAAGAGGUACGGCGAGUCCUUCUCUCGGCGGCAACCUACCUGGCUGAAGUCUACCGGAACGGAAAGAUUCUGAGAAUACGAAUUUACUAAGUGGACGAAGGACCAAAGGAGGCCAUGAGAAUUUAGGAUGGGACUAAGCCAGGGUCACGUGGGCGGUACGGAGACGAUGAAGAGGGAACCAACGAGGAAGGUGAUAAUUAUUAUAAAUCUGCCGAUCCACGAAGGAACCCCGGGCCGAGCCUUCUGUCCAGGAAACGAGACGUCACGGGCUAUCAUCCCUCUAAUCAGCGAGCCACGCGGCGUAAAAGAAGUCGAAAAGGCCUUUACUCGGAAUCGAGAUCGACUCCACGCGGCUCCGCUGUUCACCGGAAGAUCCCAAUACACUUUUCCGAAUAAGUUUUUCAUUUUAGCAUAAGAAUUUCAAGUUGAUUAAUAACAUUAUAU